UCGGGAAUUUUGGGCAAUGGGCGAAAGCCUGACCCAGCAACGCCGCGUGAGGGAUGAAGUAUUUCGGUAUGUAAACCUCGAAAGAAUGGGAAGAAUAAAUGACGGUACCAUUUAUAAGCUCCGGCUAACUACGUGCCAGCAGCCGCGGUAAUACGUAGGGUGCAAGCGUUAAUCGGAAUUACUGGGCGUAAAGCGUGCGCAGGCGGUUUUGUAAGACAGAGGUGAAAUCCCCGGGCUCAACCUGGGAACUGCCUUUGUGACUGCAAAGCUGGAGUGCGGCAGAGGGGGAUGGAAUUCCGCGUGUAGCAGUGAAAUGCGUAGAUAUGCGGGGGAACACCGAUGGCGAAGGCAAUCCCCUGGGCCUGCACUGACGCUCAUGCACGAAAGCGUGGGGAGCAAACA
Molecule: ribosomal RNA, 402 nt
Filed under: uncultured bacterium
Lineage: Bacteria
Description: bacterial SSU rRNA
Rfam family: Bacterial small subunit ribosomal RNA
Source: RNAcentral